Camellia sinensis is the source of this 3491-nucleotide non-coding RNA. Lineage: Eukaryota; Viridiplantae; Streptophyta; Magnoliopsida; Ericales; Theaceae. The record is from RefSeq and is a predicted model, not a curated record.
AUUUUUAGCGACAAAAAAUAUUUUAGUCGCUAUAUAGUGAGUUUUGGCAACUAAAAUCAUUUGGUCGCCGAACGAAAAAUAAAAAAUUAUUUUUUAUGUUUUGGCGACCAAAAGUUUGGUCUCCAAAAACAUACUUUCAACGACAAAAAAAUUUAAUCGCCAAAAAGCUAAAAUAUUUGGCGGGAAACCUUUCAAAUUCUGGAGGGUUAAAUAAAAUAAAUUAAUUGGCGACUAAAAAUUUUAGUCGCUAACGGUGUAAUAUAUAUAUAUAUAUAUUUGGUUUCCAAACCAAACAAACCAACGCCUCUCUGUCUGUCUCUCUCUAGCGUCCGUCUCCCUCUCUGGUGCCUGUUCUGGAGCUCUCGGCUACUAUUGCUGUGGCCACGACCUUCUUCUUUGUCCUAUCUCUCUCCUUCUCCUCCUCUUUCUUGUUCUUGCCCCUCUCCCGCAGCCUUAACCACCGCCGAAGCCGUCGUGUCUGGAAGAGAAAUGAUCUCGCUGAUAGCAGAGGAUGUAAGAUGGGUGAACGAUUAGAUCGAGUCCAAAAACAUCAUAUGCACGACAAUGUCCUCCGUAAGGGCAUUAACCCUCGCUCUCGCGCUCAACAGCUCCAAGAUCUUAUUCAGUCAGUAAACUCUCUCUCUCUCUCUCUUUCAAUUUGUGUAUGUAUGUAUUGGAUUUUUGGAAAUCUACACUUGUCAAGCUCUUCAUUGAAAAGAAAUGGAGAAUUUAGGUUUUGGAUUUUUAGAGAUAUGUUAUAUUAUGGCCUAUAGAUUUUAGGUUUUGGAUUCUGAUUUGGUCUACAUUCUAAUUUCAAUGUUUUGGACUUCUAUUUGUGUUUCUUAAUCAAAUAUUGAAUCUAAUUGCGUUAACUUCUCCAGUCUUUUUUGAAAAUUCUGCAUACAUACUAGUGAAUAUUUGUGAAUGUGUGCCCUGUUCUGGUUCAAGAUUGACAAGUUAUGGACUUUUAAAGCAUCUCCAUCACCCACGGAAGCUCCAUCAAGAUUAAAUGUGUGCCCUUGUUAUGGCCUUUUCUUGAUCAUUUUUAGGUCAGGUUUAUUUUUUCAGACAUUUAUGUUUUAAUUGUGUUUGUUCUUUAGUUUUUAUGCAUCUUAAGUGCCAAUACAAAUUAUGUAGUUUCAGAUUAUUUAAUGCAGAUGCAUUUAUUGUACCCCAAUUAUCCUUGCCACCUUAGUUUCUUGUAGAAGAUCUAUAUCUACAUUCACCAGCCUAGCGAUGAAAGAAAUCUUUAUUAUUUGACAUAUUUUUAAAGCCCUGAUAAAAUAUUGCAACCCCACCAAGAUGAAGGACUUUAAUGAUUUAGUUUGUAAUUAGCUGGAACAGGGUGUUGAAGAUGAAAAAUUCAUAGAAUUUAAGUUUCAUCUAGGUUAUGUAUAAUUAAUGCAUUGUUAUAUUUGUUGAAUAUUUACCACAGCCUGAACAAUUGAAUAAGAUAUUUGAGCUAUGCAAAUCUCCAGAUGAGAUUAUUUGGCCUGGGGUUUCCAAGAUUCCCUGGUAUAACAAGUUCAAGCCAACAAGGCCGAUGAAGAGGCGAGUGAGGGAGGUUUUUACACAGUAAGUAUACAAAUUGAAGUUGUUAGUUAGACUUGGAUUUUUUGGUGUCCAUUUUAGUGCAAGAAGUUUGAUAUCCAUAAUUCUUAUAUUGCUUUGCAAUUUUGACCGUCAUGCACUGGAUUUACUAGAGAAAAUGCUAACCCUUGAUCGACCUCAGGUACACAUAAAUCUCAGGCUUAGUGAACUUGUUAUUAUAGACUAUCAGACACUUCAUAGCCAUAGCAUUUUUAUUUAGGUGUGCCAGUGAACACAAUUAUGCGAUAAUGUGAUGUACCAAAAUUUGUUAGUUUGUUUUAGGUCUAGCAACAGGGUGUGGAAGGAUUUUAGUUUGUCCAUAAAUUUUAGACUAAAAUGAUUAGUUUAUUGACAAACUAAAUGAUGAUUUUUUUACUUCAUUAGUUUGGAGAAACUGACAGUACAAUGUCAAUAAAAUGACUUACUUUAUUAGUUUGGAAAAUGACAAUAUAAAUCUGAGUUUUGACUUAUUGCAAAAAGGGUGUGGAGAAAAUGCUAACCCUUUAUUAGUUGUUAUAGGUCUACCAAAAUUCAAUCUUUUAAAAAAUAAAACCGAGAUCCAUUUUUUGACUGACUUUGUGAUUAAGUACACUAAAUAUAUAUUUCAUUAAAUUAAAUGGAACAUAAUGAUUUUGGAUGCUUUUCAUGCCCUAAUUGUUUAUUCAGAAAAUAAAUAAAAAAUUUACAUGUAAACAAAUAAAAUAAAAAUUGAAUUAAAAGUUUAGAUCUUGUUGGGUAAGCAACCAUGUAUCCAAGGUAUUGGGUAUUUAUAGUGCUCCAUAAAAUAGGAUUUAAAACCUUAGUUGCAAGAAACUCCUUAUUGCUACAACUGGCUAGAGAGUUCUUCUUGACAGAGAAAGGAUUAGCUAGUUGCAUUGAAAUUAAGGCAUAUCAAACAAAGUUGGGCUUUGGAAGGACUAGGAGGAUGAUUAUUUUUUUGCGAGUAUAAUUUGGGGAAAUGAUACAUUCCACCGCUUCAUUGUAAAAUCCUUAUGAGCUUAUAAUUUAAUAAUUGAGGUGGCUUGCAUAAUCUGAAAAUAGUCUGAUUCCAAUAUCCCAUCAAAACACAUUCAUCCUAAAUCAUCUAAUUAAUGACACAUUUUUAUAUACAGUUGAGGAUCAUGAUGGUUUCAUCUUUGUGUCUUCAGGGAUUGUUGAUUUUUGGUAGCUUUUGGUGACUGCAUUUUGCAUUUCUGUUUCCAAAAACUCGAUUAGAAAGGCCAUGAACUUAUGAGCACAGAUGAUUAGAUUUGGUGCAGUUCUAUGUAUAUAUUUUUCAUUUUUGUUCUACAACUUUCAAUUCCUUGAAUUUUUUUUUUAUUUUUUUUCCCUUUUCCCUUUUCCCUUUUCCAUUUCACGCAAAGAAUAUUUGCAAAGGAUGCCCUUGGUGCUAAAUAUUUUUGGACUGACCCCAUACCUUGCAAUCCUAGAAGACAAGAAAAAAAGGCAACAACAACGACAAAACGAAGAGAUGGCAAAGAGACAGAAAUUGCAGCACCUACAACAACAUGCUCGUCUGAUUGCUUGCUUUUGCUUAAUGAUAGAGAAGGGAAUGCUGGAUUUGUAGUUUUUGAGUUUGUGGAUUAUUCUUUGCAUCCUUAUCCAGUUGUGUGGCACAGGAACACUAGUUUUCUGAUGAGAGCAACAUCUUGUGAAUGAAAGUGGUUCAGAUUUGGACACUAAGGGUGUUGCAACCAUUGUUUUCUUAGCUAGCUGUCAUUUUAAUCUUUUGAUAAAUGGCUUUACAAUGUAGGCCAAUUUGCAGAAGUUCACCUAGAUUUGGGAUAAGGUUAGUUGAGAUCUGGGGUGGAAUCUCACCGAAAACUUGAUUAUAAAUGUUCUGAGUUUGUCUCAUUGUGUUGAUUUAUGGCUUGACAGAAAAAAAAAAAAAUUGUGGAUAA